Molecule: long non-coding RNA, 291 nt
Filed under: Erythranthe guttata (spotted monkey flower)
Lineage: Eukaryota; Viridiplantae; Streptophyta; Magnoliopsida; Lamiales; Phrymaceae
Description: long non-coding RNA (EGUT_LNC003638)
Source: RNAcentral
GCACACGCGGCAAUGCAUGCAAUCAAAAUGGCACAUAAUCAAACAUGGAGUUCGGUGGUGUUUGAAUGUGAUUGUCUAGAGGUUAUAAACACUUUUAAGGAUGGAGAUGAGUCACUAGCAUCGUAUGGAGCAUUUGUUGAAGAUAGCUUACGUAUUAUCUGUUCAUUUUCCUUAUGUGAUUUUCAUUUUGUCAAAAGAGAGGGCAAUUAUUUAGCCCAUGCUUUAGCUAGUCAAGGUUUAUUUAUUUGUUCUGAAGGAGAUUCUCUCCCUCCAAACAUUGCAUAUUUUGCC